Schistosoma haematobium is the source of this 45-nucleotide non-coding RNA. NCBI's taxonomy places the organism in Eukaryota, Metazoa, Platyhelminthes, Trematoda, Strigeidida, Schistosomatidae. The record is from Rfam.
AUCCAUCUGACGAGUCCCAAAUAGGACGAAACACGCGUCCUGUGU